RNAcentral lists this ribosomal RNA (400 nucleotides) under uncultured eukaryote. RNAcentral's name for it is "SSU rRNA". It matches the Rfam family "Eukaryotic small subunit ribosomal RNA", at positions 567 to 972 of the family's 1831-position model. The record is from RNAcentral.
CCAGCAGCCGCGGUAAUUCCAGCUCCAAUAGCGUAUAUUUAAGUUGCUGCAGUUAAAAAGCUCGUAGUUGGAUUUCGGGUGGGGCCUGCCGGUCCGCCGUUUCGGUGUGCACUGGCCGGGCCCACCUUGCUGCCGGGGACGUGUUCCUGGGCUUCACUGUCCGGGACACGGAGUCGGCGAGGUUACUUUGAGUAAAUUAGAGUGUUCAAAGCAGGCCUACGCUCUGAAUACAUUAGCAUGGAAUAACACGAUAGGACUCUGGCCUAUCUUGUUGGUCUGUAGGACCGGAGUAAUGAUUAAGAGGGACAGUCGGGGGCAUUCGUAUUUCAUUGUCAGAGGUGAAAUUCUUGGAUUUAUGAAAGACGAACUACUGCGAAAGCAUUUGCCAAGGAUGUUUUCA